Molecule: ribosomal RNA, 315 nt
Filed under: Dikerogammarus haemobaphes
Lineage: Eukaryota; Metazoa; Arthropoda; Malacostraca; Amphipoda; Gammaridae
Description: partial 16S ribosomal RNA
Source: RNAcentral
UUUUAACGGCUGCGGUAUUUUGACCGUGCUAAGGUAGCAUAAUCAAUUGUUUUUUAAUUGAAAACUAGUAUGAACGGUUUAAUUUACUUAAUUAGUUUGUAAUUUUUAAUAGUAAGUUAAAUAUAAAGUAAGAAUUCUUUAAUAAAUUAGGGGACGAUAAGACCCUAAAAGCUUUAUGAUUGGCAUUUAAUUAGUGAUAGCGGUGUUAUUAAUUCACUGGGGCAGUGAGUUUAGGUAUAUUUAAGUAUAAUUAAAAGCUCCUUUAAAUAAAGAUUUCAUGUAUAAGUUACUUUAGGGAUAACAGUGCAAUAUAUU